This 431-nucleotide ribosomal RNA is filed under the name uncultured bacterium. RNAcentral describes it as "bacterial SSU rRNA". It matches the Rfam family "Bacterial small subunit ribosomal RNA", at positions 29 to 461 of the family's 1533-position model. The record is from RNAcentral.
AACGAACGCUGGCGGCAGGCCUAACACAUGCAAGUCGAGCGGUAGAGAGAAGCUUGCUUCUCUUGAGAGCGGCGGACGGGUGAGUAAUGCCUAGGAAUCUGCCUGGUAGUGGGGAUAACGUUCGGAAACGAACGCUAAUACCGCAUACGUCCUACGGGAGAAAGCAGGGGACCUUCGGGCCUUGCGCUAUCAGAUGAGCCUAGGUCGGAUUAGCUAGUAGGUGAGGUAAUGGCUCACCUAGGCGACGAUCCGUAACUGGUCUGAGAGGAUGAUCAGUCACACUGGAACUGAGACACGGUCCAGACUCCUACGGGAGGCAGCAGUGGGGAAUAUUGGACAAUGGGCGAAAGACCUGAUCCAGCCAUGCCGCGUGUGUGAAGAAGGUCUUCGGAUUGUAAACUGCUUUAUACAAGAAGAAACACUACCCUCCG